This 253-nucleotide ribosomal RNA is filed under the name uncultured bacterium. RNAcentral's name for it is "partial 16S ribosomal RNA". It matches the Rfam family "Bacterial small subunit ribosomal RNA", at positions 524 to 776 of the family's 1533-position model. The record is from RNAcentral.
UACGAAGGGGGCUAGCGUUGCUCGGAAUUACUGGGCGUAAAGCGCACGUAGGCGGAUCUUUAAGUCAGGGGUGAAAUCCCGGAGCUCAACUCCAGAACUGCCUUUGAUACUGAGGAUCUUGAGUUCGGGAGAGGUGAGUGGAACUGCGAGUGUAGAGGUGAAAUUCGUAGAUAUUCGCAAGAACACCAGUGGCGAAGGCGGCUCACUGGCCCGAUACUGACGCUGAGGUGCGAAAGCGUGGGGAGCAAACAGG